RNAcentral lists this long non-coding RNA (1527 nucleotides) under Volvox carteri. RNAcentral describes it as "long non-coding RNA (VCAR_LNC001336)". Lineage: Eukaryota; Viridiplantae; Chlorophyta; Chlorophyceae; Chlamydomonadales; Volvocaceae. The record is from RNAcentral.
CAAAGUACACGUUGCCGACGAAUUAAAUAUGCGGUCCGUUGUUACUGAUGAUGGGGUGUUACACUGUGGGCGGCUUGUCCCGAGAAAGGACGAUCACCGCGCAGGACCCUGACCGGAGGCCGAAACACAGCGCAGAGGCGGGCUCGCGGCUACGUCCGCCUCACUCCCUACUGUCAUUCGCACGGUGGGCCGACAUGCAGUCCUGAGUAGAUCCGAUGUGAACAUAUAGGCAAGUAGACGACGUCUACAGUACUGCAGCUGCAAGCAAUACAUAGGUAGAGCUGUGGCUCUAAACAAACGCUCAGUAAUUAAGAAUGCAGGAGACAACUACACGCACCCCCAUCUGCGGCUCCUUGCACGGUGGCUCAACUGCCACCCGCUGCAGACUCCACCUGCGGUUCCUCCUCAUAUUUCAGCGGAGAACCUUCGUGGUGGUCGCCUGACGGCUCCCAGAACUCGAACGCAGCCACCACCCGUGUAGCGUGAUACAGUCGUAACUUCCGACAUGGACACCUCAAACUAGUACUGCUGCUCGAUCUGCUGCUGCUGACCGGCAGUAGUUGUGUCUCGAGGUCGGUGGUCCGAUGGGUGUGCCACGGAGCAGUCUCGAAAUCGCUCGAAAAUACAUUCGUUACACAAACACUAGCUCCCACCAUGUUGACACUACCCAUCAAUUGUCACACUUGCCACCCUAGCUACCAGCCUGUACGGAUGCAGAGGGGCACCCGCCCUUCCUUCGGCUUCAAGGAAGCCGCCACCCAACUUGUCGGCUUCGAGGAAGCCGACAUUAGACUUGCCCUUAGCCUGGUCUGAUGUUUCAUCUCAUUUGGAAAUCGGCUUGCUUCAUAUCAGAACGUCAGCUUCCUAUGAUUUAAUUCUAUGCUAUUCUAUUUUUGAGGGCUACACAUUACAGAACUGCCCUGCUCGGUGGUGGAAACUGUCUCACUCCCUCACAAGCCGGGACUGGACUGUACGGCUCAGCAACCCUACAGGUAUCCAGGGGCUCGACACCACGGAGCGUGGUGCUGGACUCCAGCCGCUGGAGACAGCAGACCGUGACACUCCGGAGAGUGCACUGCGUGGGCCACCACAGUGUUGGCCUUGUAGCUCAAGAUCCAAACAUAUGGAACCCCGAAUCACGGAGUGUAGAAUCCAGUAACCCACAUUCGUUGGUACAUGAGCAUGUAGGCUACGGAUGUCAGAAUCCCUACAUGCUGAAUGCCGUGCAUCCAAACGAUAGCCACCUCUUUCUUCAGGUACAGAGCCGUGGGCUUCCUUACGUAUUGUCUUAAUUUAUAUGUAAUCCCUUGCUUGACCGGGUGGUAGCGUGCGUUGUGGUAGAACACACCCAUUCAACACCCGCAGGCUUAAGAAGGCUAGGAUGGUGCCAAUGGUACGAUACCCUAAAUCCCCUUGUUGCUCUAGAUUGCUUGCGUCUUUACUUGCUAUGGUGCGGAGGUUUUCGCGGGCUUGCUUUGUACAUGUGGCGUGUCUUGCAUGGCCUAUACAUACAGUGUUCGGGUUCGG